RNAcentral lists this ribosomal RNA (407 nucleotides) under bacterium enrichment culture clone ALO1_GLFRUDD03GLFOD. RNAcentral describes it as "bacterial SSU rRNA". It matches the Rfam family "Bacterial small subunit ribosomal RNA", at positions 9 to 416 of the family's 1533-position model. The record is from RNAcentral.
GAGUUUGAUCCUGGCUCAGAUUGAACGCUGGCGGCAUGCCUUACACAUGCAAGUCGAACGGCAGCACGGGAGCUUGCUCCUGGUGGCGAGUGGCGAACGGGUGAGUAAUGCAUCGGAACGUAUCCUGGAGUGGGGGAUAACGUAGCGAAAGUUACGCUAAUACCGCAUAUUCUGUGAGCAGGAAGGCGGGGGACCUUCGGGCCUCGCGCUCUUGGAGCGGCCGAUGUCGGAUUAGCUAGUUGGUGAGGUAAAGGCUCACCAAGGCGACGAUCCGUAGCAGGUCUGAGAGGAUGGUCUGCCACACUGGAACUGAGACACGGUCCAGACUCCUACGGGAGGCAGCAGUGGGGAAUUUUGGACAAUGGGGGCAACCCUGAUCCAGCCAUGCCGCGUGAGUGAAGAAGGCC